Molecule: long non-coding RNA, 283 nt
Filed under: Mytilus galloprovincialis (Mediterranean mussel)
Lineage: Eukaryota; Metazoa; Mollusca; Bivalvia; Mytilida; Mytilidae
Source: RNAcentral
GGGGCGUAACUCGUGGUAUCAUACCGGCAUACUGAACGGAUCUAAACAUGGUCUGACACUUUUGAAUGUUGAUUUUGAGUUUUGAUCUGUUUCGGUCUGACACGGUCUUAACGGAUCUAAACAGCUCGCUAGAAGAUACAGUCUUAAAUAUCUUGACAUGCCUUAACGGACUAAUUUACCUAAUGAGACUAUCGAUCCGAACGGAGACUUAACGAUCUGACAAGUCUUGACGUUUUCCUCUAGCGGUAAAUCCAGUCAAUUAAGAUACGAUCAGACCAAAAUG